CCCUACGGGGCGCAGCAGGCGCGAAAACUUUACAAUGCGGGAAACCGUGAUAAGGGAACACCGAGUGCCAGCAUCAUAUGCCGGCUGUCCAGAUGUGUAAACUACAUCUGUUAGCAAGGGCCGGGCAAGACCGGUGCCAGCCGCCGCGGUAACACCGGCGGCCCGAGUGGUGACCGUUAUUAUUGGGUCUAAAGGGUCCGUAGCCGGUUUGGUCAGUCCUCCGGGAAAUCUGAUAGCUUAACUGUUAGGCUUUCGGGGGAUACUGCCAGGCUUGGAACCGGGAGAGGUAAGAGGUACUACAGGGGUAGGAGUGAAAUCUUGUAAUCCCUGUGAGACCACCUGUGGCGAAGGCGUCUUACCAGAACGGGUUCGACGGUGAGGGACGAAAGCUGGGGGCAUGAACCGGAUUAGAUACCCGGGUAGUCCCAGCCGUAAACUAUGCUCGCUAGGUGUCAGGCAUGGCGCGACCGUGUCUGGUGCCGCAGGGAAGCCGUGAAGCGAGCCACCUGGGAAGUACGGCCGCAAGGCUGAAACUUAAAGGAAUUGGCGGGGGAGCACAACAACGGGUGGAGCCUGCGGUUUAAUUGGACUCAACGCCGGGAAGCUCACCGGAUAAGACA
Molecule: ribosomal RNA, 620 nt
Filed under: uncultured archaeon
Lineage: Archaea
Description: bacterial SSU rRNA
Rfam family: Archaeal small subunit ribosomal RNA
Source: RNAcentral